CAUGGGUGCCAGAUUGAAUGGGUUGGUUUUAAGCAUCAAAUAUGAGAGUUUCUCCUCGUGUGG
RNAcentral lists this transfer RNA (63 nucleotides) under Paragonimus westermani. Its description in RNAcentral is "tRNA-Leu". Lineage: Eukaryota; Metazoa; Platyhelminthes; Trematoda; Plagiorchiida; Troglotrematidae. The record is from RNAcentral.